ACAACAAGAAUAAAAACCAGGCAAGACCCCAUAACAAAAACAAGAUUCAGCUCCACACCUAACAAAAACAAAACGUGCGAGUGUAGCAAACUGAUUUUUUUGGAGAAUAGGAAGCACCGCUGGCGAACGUAAUGUUCGAUUGGAAACCGAGAAGAAUAAAAGUUGCCUGAGCAACCGACCGGUACCGAUGCCAAGCUUGGCCAAAGCAGCUUCCCGAGCAUCCAAAGCAAUCCGCUUGCUUUAGGCAACCCGGGAUGGGUUUAAACGGGGUGACACUGUCGCCCAGCCCAAAAAAACAAGAAACAGCUCAAAUAACAACAACAAAAAACCAUUAGGGGGAGUGAAUACUCCCCUUGAGCUUUCCCGCAAUACUCCCAGCAGUAUCUU
This 387-nucleotide small RNA is filed under the name Halopseudomonas bauzanensis. RNAcentral's name for it is "Pseudomonas sp. BZ93 Pseudomonas sRNA CrcZ". It matches the Rfam family "Pseudomonas sRNA CrcZ". Lineage: Bacteria; Pseudomonadati; Pseudomonadota; Gammaproteobacteria; Pseudomonadales; Pseudomonadaceae. The record is from Rfam by way of RNAcentral.